GACGAACGCUGGCGGCGUGCCUAAUACAUGCAAGUCGAACGCUGAAGGAGGAGCUUGCUCUUCUGGAUGAGUUGCGAACGGGUGAGUAACGCGUAGGUAACCUGCCUGGUAGCGGGGGAUAACUAUUGGAAACGAUAGCUAAUACCGCAUAACAGUAGAUGUUGCAUGACAUUUGCUUAAAAGGUGCAAUUGCAUCACUACCAGUUGGACCUGCGUUGUAUUAGUUAGUUGGUGGGGUAACGGCUCACCAAGGCGACGAUACAUAGUCGACCUGAGAGGGUGGUCGGCCACACUGGGACUUAGACACGGCCCAGACUCCUACGGGAGGCAACAGUAAGGAAUCUUCGGCAAUGGACGGAAGUCUGACCGGACAACGCCGCGGGGGGGAAGAAAGUUUUCGGAUCGUAAAGCUCUGUUGUAAGGGAAGAAAGAGUGGGGGAAGGGAAAGUGCACACUGUGACGGUAUCUUACCAGAAAGGGACGGCUAACUACGUG
Molecule: ribosomal RNA, 495 nt
Filed under: uncultured bacterium
Lineage: Bacteria
Description: partial 16S ribosomal RNA
Rfam family: Bacterial small subunit ribosomal RNA
Source: RNAcentral